This is a long non-coding RNA of Cucurbita maxima (winter squash), 134 nucleotides long. RefSeq lists it as uncharacterized. NCBI's taxonomy places the organism in Eukaryota, Viridiplantae, Streptophyta, Magnoliopsida, Cucurbitales, Cucurbitaceae. The transcript is spliced from 3 exons. The record is from RefSeq and is a predicted model, not a curated record.
AAUGACCUAUUGUAAUGAUGAAUGAAUUAGUGAAUCCAUUUGCGAAAGGAUAACAGAACAUGAGCUAUCUAUUUUAUCCUUUUCUAGAAAAACUACUCAAAAGAAAACGGUUAUUUGCUGUUAGAUCAUGAUUC